This is a long non-coding RNA of Penaeus vannamei (Pacific white shrimp), 556 nucleotides long. RefSeq lists it as uncharacterized. NCBI's taxonomy places the organism in Eukaryota, Metazoa, Arthropoda, Malacostraca, Decapoda, Penaeidae. The record is from RefSeq and is a predicted model, not a curated record.
UGUGUACAGUUUGCGAUUCAGUGAAAGUCAAGAGCCAAGAAAACAGGAAUAUUGAGCGUCGUCUCUUCAGUCCGAAACCGAGAUCGUCCGGAGGGAGAAUCAUGGCGCCGCUUCUGGGUGUUAUUUUCGGUCUCCUCGCCUUCCUGGCCACGACCUGCUCGGCUGUCUCGGUCGAGGACGAGUCCUCCUCGGUCUACGGGAUCAUGGUUCUGCCGAUAAUCGCUUUCUGCCUCAUCAUCUACCUGGAGUUGCGGAGAGGACCAUGAGCAACGUAAGUCUCCAGAUAAGAAGAUGGCGAUGAAAAAGACUUUGGUGAUAUACUUCAAGGAAUUAACUCAAUACUGUGAUUCAUUAUAUUUUCCACUUUGUUUUUCCUCUUUGAUUUUCCUCUAAUUCCAUCGUUAUUUCUAUUCUUGUUUGGAUUAUUUUAUUGUUUACUUUGAUUUGUUAUCAUGAAUAAUUUUUCUUCAGUUAAAAAAAAUCUUUAAUUGUAUAGGCCUAUAUAGGCAAGGAAUGUAAGGUUAAUAAAUGUGAAUAUAUUUUUACUGCAUGCAAA